This 253-nucleotide ribosomal RNA is filed under the name uncultured bacterium. Its description in RNAcentral is "partial 16S ribosomal RNA". It matches the Rfam family "Bacterial small subunit ribosomal RNA", at positions 524 to 776 of the family's 1533-position model. The record is from RNAcentral.
UACGUAGGGUGCAAGCGUUAAUCGGAAUUACUGGGCGUAAAGCGUGCGCAGGCGGUUGGGCAAGACAGAUGUGAAAUCCCCGGGCUCAACCUGGGAAUGGCAUUUGUGACUGUCCGGCUAGAGUGUGUCAGAGGGGGGUAGAAUUCCACGUGUAGCAGUGAAAUGCGUAGAUAUCGGAAGGAACGCCGGUGGCGAAAGCGAGUCGCUGGAUCUCUUCUGACGCUGAUGCGCGAAAGCCAGGGGAGCAAACGGG